RNAcentral lists this ribosomal RNA (380 nucleotides) under uncultured eukaryote. RNAcentral describes it as "partial 18S ribosomal RNA". It matches the Rfam family "Eukaryotic small subunit ribosomal RNA", at positions 592 to 976 of the family's 1831-position model. The record is from RNAcentral.
CAAUAGCGUAUAUUAAAGUUGUUGCAGUUAAAAAGCUCGUAGUUGGAUUUGUGGCUGUCACGGGCGGCCUAUCACUUAGUGUUAGUGCUUGCCUGUGUCGCCAUCCUUGGGUGGAGCCCGUGUGGCAUUAGGUUGUCGUGCGGGGGAUGCCCAUCGUUUACUGUGAGAAAAUUAGAGUGUUCAAAGCAGGCUUAUGCCAUUGAAUAUGUUAGCAUGGAAUAAUAAGAUAGGACCUCGGUACUAUUUUGUUGGUUUGCGCACCGAGGUAAUGAUUAAUAGGGACAGUUGGGGGUAUUCGUAUUUCAUUGUCGGAGGUGAAAUUCUUGGAUUUCUGAAAGACGAACUACUGCGAAAGCAUUUACCAAGGAUGUUUUCAUUAA